AGCUCAGUCGGUAGAGCGUUUCCAUGGUAAGGAAAAGGUCAACGGUUCGAUUCCGUUA
RNAcentral lists this transfer RNA (58 nucleotides) under Mycobacteriaceae bacterium. RNAcentral describes it as "tRNA-Thr". It matches the Rfam family "tRNA", at positions 9 to 63 of the family's 71-position model. From Rfam's summary of the family: Transfer RNA (tRNA) molecules are approximately 80 nucleotides in length. Their secondary structure includes four short double-helical elements and three loops (D, anti-codon, and T loops). Lineage: Bacteria; Bacillati; Actinomycetota; Actinomycetes; Mycobacteriales; Mycobacteriaceae. The record is from RNAcentral.